CUACGGGGGGCACCAGUGGGGAAUAUUGGACAAUGGGGGAAACCCUGAUCCAGCAAUGCCGCGUGUGUGAAGAAGGCCUGCGGGUUGUAAAGCACUUUCGGUUGGGAGGACUGCUUCUAGCACUAAUAUUGUUGGAAGUUGACGUUACCUUCAGAAGAAACACCGGCUAACUCCGGCCAGCAGCCGCGGUAUACGGAGGGUGCAAGCGUUAAUCGGAAUUACUGGGCGUAAAGCGCGCGUAGGCGGCUAGAUCAGUCGGGUGUGAAAGCCCCGGGCUUAACCUGGGAACUGCAUCCGAUACUGUCUAGCUUGAGUACAUGAGAGGAGAGUGGAAUUCCACAUGUAGCGGUGAAAUGCGUAGAUAUGUGGAGGAACACCAAUGGCGAAGGCAGCUCUCUGGCCUGAUACUGACGCUGAGGUGCGAAAGCGUGGGGAGCAAACAGGAUUAGAUACCCGUGUAGUC
This 463-nucleotide ribosomal RNA is filed under the name uncultured bacterium. RNAcentral describes it as "partial 16S ribosomal RNA". It matches the Rfam family "Bacterial small subunit ribosomal RNA", at positions 339 to 795 of the family's 1533-position model. The record is from RNAcentral.